CCUAAACGAAAGAUAAUGUCAUUUAAUUACUAAAUAUACAUCUGCUGCACUGGUUUUAAACACAUCCAAUGUCGAAACAGAAGGUACGGGGCUCAGUGUGACCAGAUGUGUAUGAUGACGUGCUUUUAUCAGGACUGUCAGUUUACUGGAGUUUGUAAGUCGUGUGCACCAAACAGAGCCGGUGACUACUGCCUGGAUAGGGCUAAGGAUGUAUCAGAAAAGGAAAGUUUAAAAAAACCAUGAUUUUUCAGAAGUUUAGUUAACUAAUUUAAGGCAAUUGAUAUAUACAAGAUCUACAAAUAUUGUAAUCAGGCUCAAAUAAAAUAUU
Molecule: long non-coding RNA, 328 nt
Organism: Physella acuta
Lineage: Eukaryota; Metazoa; Mollusca; Gastropoda; Physidae
Source: RefSeq, a predicted model, not a curated record